UUUUCAUGAAGUUUUUAGUGCAUCUUAGAUCUAAUUGCAUGAUUUAAUCAUUCUUUUGAACCAUUGUGUUAUUUCGAGAUACUUUCGGCUCUUUUAUGUGAUUUUCAGGUUCUUGAGGUCGAUUGUGACUAAGAGAAGCUAAUAUGGUUCAUAGAUGGUCUACAUGGCAGUUUCUGGAUGCGAGAAGAUGAGUUUGAGUGCUUUGGGGUUGAAGGAAUGAUGAUAUUGAAGAAUACUUUCUUUGCGGGACCAAGCAGAAUCUCACUUGCCCACGCACCAAGGCGCACGCCCAAGCGAGAUCCCGCUUGCACGUGCGAUGUUGCAAGCCAAAACAUCAAAAUCCUUCUGUUUCGCGUGCACGCCCAAGCAGGAUUCUACUUGCCCGUGCACUGUGCUGCACGCCUGUGCAGCUUCUUGCUUGCCCUUGCACGCUGCUACCGAUCUAUUUUCGCGACUCUUAUUGUAACACCCCGUAUUUUUAUACAUGUUUAGUAAUUAAUUAUAUUAUUUUAGUUUAUAAAAAAAAUAAUUUAAAAAAUAUUUUAUUAAAUAUAUUUUAUUUCUCACUUAUUGACUUUACCUUAGAAGGGUCUAAAAAAAAAAUUCCAAGUUUGACUAGGUUAAGUACCAUAGAUUUAGUUAAACUAUGUUCUAAAAGAAAAGAGAAAGAAAGAAAAAAAAGAGAAAAAGAAAGUAAAAAAAAAAAAAAAACAACAUAAGAAGAUAGAGUGCUGCUAACCUCCUCACAACCUACGAGCAGCAUUCUGCUUUCUUUAAAAAAAUAAAAAACUCUUGCUUGAAACUCCAUCGAAGCUACAAAAGAAAAAAACUAAAAGAAAAGAUCAUCAUCAAUAUCUAUCACACAUCAACUUGAUCCAUCAUCUCCAUCUUCACUUGGUUAGUGGAUAUUUCAAAGAGAGAGAAUUGGGUUUUAUACUUGAAAUUUUCGGGUCGAAAAUCGGAUCAAGAAGACGAAUUCAGGGUCUUUUUACACUCUUCUACGUUCUAAUUGCGUUAUUAAUCAAAUCGCGGGUUCGUAGAAGAACCCUUUUGACUUGUAAUUGAGAUUGAUUGAUAGUGGUUUGCUAAUAAGGGCUUGAUGGUGACUAGCUUAUAUUGGGGUGAGACCGUUGACUUCACCUAGAUGUAGAUUUGUUAAAGUUAAGACUUCCGCUGCAAUGGAUUAGAAUUAUGGUUUGUUAUAGGAGUGUAUUAAUUAAUUUCAUUUUCUUUUAGUUGUAAUAGUUAAUAAUUAAUUUAUGUAUUAGUAGUAGUACCUUUCGCUUUGCUGUUAUUAAGUGCUUAAUAACCGCGGCAUAACAACUCUUGAAU
This is a long non-coding RNA of Beta vulgaris subsp. vulgaris (sugar beet), 1332 nucleotides long. RefSeq lists it as uncharacterized. Lineage: Eukaryota; Viridiplantae; Streptophyta; Magnoliopsida; Caryophyllales; Amaranthaceae. The record is from RefSeq and is a predicted model, not a curated record. The transcript is spliced from 3 exons.